This 877-nucleotide long non-coding RNA is filed under the name Helianthus annuus (common sunflower). RNAcentral's name for it is "sRNA HanXRQr2_Chr13g0580851". The record is from RNAcentral. Lineage: Eukaryota; Viridiplantae; Streptophyta; Magnoliopsida; Asterales; Asteraceae.
UCGAACCGGCCGGUUCAGGUUAGGCCUACUCUCAAUCUUCAACAAUCUAAUAUUCCUAAACUCAAACGCCGAUAAAACCUUAUACAACACCGUCGUUCCUCUAUCCUGAGCAAACACAAUACUCGUCUUAUACGGCCGGUCCGUUCUCGCCACCACCGGUUCACGUGCGAGCAUCAUGAACCGUGUUACGCAACUCGAAUCGUCCUGUAUCGACUCAGCGAGUAUGUUUAAAUUGUAGAUCUCGGCAGCGCGUGGUGACGCAAUCGCCGCCGUGUCACGGAGGUUAUUCGCCGCCACGUGUUCCGCAGCUCCAGCGGUAUCAGCCACCGCCUCACGAACGACGUGGUUGAAUCCGAAUCCGAGUUUGUUCAGAGUUAACUCGCACUGAGCGAGAGCUUGUGGAUGACUAAUCACGCGCUUGAUGUGCUCCGUACGGACGCCUGGUAAGGCCACAAGGCAGUGGCGGAACGAGAUCUGGAUCUCGCCGACGAUGUGGAGUCGGUGGCGGAGGAGGAGGUCGUAGUUCCGGUGAACGCUGCCACCGAGAGAGUUUUCCACCGGUAAAACUGCUCGAUCGGCGAUCCAAAGCUCUACGGAUUGAAAUGCGAGUUCUGAAUUGUUACACGGAAUAGGUUUGCACUCCGGAUAAGCUUUUCCGGCGGCGGUUUCACUGUACGCGCCGGGAAGACCUUGAUAGGCUACACGUAACCUUGAACUGUGGUUUGCAGCCGGUGAAGUGUUGGUGAGUGGUUUUGGAAACUUGUUCACCGAUAUCAGAUUCAGAUCUAGCAUGUUGCGGUUAUUAACAACGCUUGGUGAAGGGGUAAUCGCCAAGCUGAGAAAUGUGAAGGAGAAUUGGGUUUUUAUAUUGGGAUGA